GCUGACACAUCCCUGCCAAUCUCCGGCAGACCCUCCCUCCUAGACCCUCCUACUUCCUGGACAGCAUCCAUGUUGAAGGCAGCUUCAACAUGGAUGCUGUCCAGGAGGUGGGAGGGUCUGGGAGGGAGGGUCUGCCGGAGAUUGGCAGGGAUGUGUCAG
Molecule: microRNA precursor, 159 nt
Filed under: Pelobates cultripes (western spadefoot toad)
Lineage: Eukaryota; Metazoa; Chordata; Amphibia; Anura; Pelobatidae
Source: RNAcentral